This 550-nucleotide ribosomal RNA is filed under the name uncultured Acidobacteriota bacterium. RNAcentral describes it as "SSU rRNA". It matches the Rfam family "Bacterial small subunit ribosomal RNA", at positions 242 to 783 of the family's 1533-position model. The record is from RNAcentral. Lineage: Bacteria; Pseudomonadati; Acidobacteriota.
CAGCUAGUUGGUGGGGUAACGGCUCACCAAGGCAACGAUCAGUAUCCGGCCUGAGAGGGCGGACGGACACACUGGGACUGAGACACGGCCCAGACUCCUACGGGAGGCAGCAGUGGGGAAUUGUUCGCAAUGGGCGCAGGCCUGACGACGCAACGCCGCGUGGAGGAUGAAGACCUUCGGGUCGUAAACUCCUUUCGAUCGAGACGAACGACUUCCGGGUGAACAAUCCGGAAGAGUGACGGUACCGAGAGAAGAAGCCCCGGCUAACUCCGUGCCAGCAGCCGCGGUAAUACGGGGGGGGCAAGCGUUGUUCGGAAUUACUGGGCGUAAAGGGCUCGUAGGCGGCCAACUAAGUCAAACGUGAAAUCCCUCGGCUUAACCGGGGAACUGCGCUUGAUACUGGAUGGCUUGAGAUUGGGAGAGGGAUGCGGAAUUCCAGGUGUAGCGGUGAAAUGCGUAGAUAUCUGGAGGAACACCGGUGGCGAAGGCGGCAUCCUGGACCAACACUGACGCUGAGGAGCGAAAGCCAGGGGAGCAAACGGGAUUAGAU